Molecule: non-coding RNA, 46 nt
Filed under: Trichobilharzia regenti
Lineage: Eukaryota; Metazoa; Platyhelminthes; Trematoda; Strigeidida; Schistosomatidae
Source: RNAcentral
CUGCUGCUGAAGAGUCCCAAACUAGGACGAAACAGCUGUCCAGUAC